Molecule: ribosomal RNA, 509 nt
Filed under: uncultured Bacteroidales bacterium
Lineage: Bacteria; Pseudomonadati; Bacteroidota; Bacteroidia; Bacteroidales
Description: bacterial SSU rRNA
Rfam family: Bacterial small subunit ribosomal RNA
Source: RNAcentral
AGAGUUUGAUCCUGGCUCAGGAUGAACGCUAGCGGCAGGCUUAACACAUGCAAGUCGAGGGGCAUCGGGAGGGAAGCUUGCUUUCCUUGCCGGCGACCGGCGCACGGGUGAGUAACACGUAUGCAACCUGCCCUCUUCAGGGGGACAACCUUCCGAAAGGGAGGCUAAUCCCGCGUAUAUCGGUUUCGGGCAUCCGAGAUCGAGGAAAGAUUCAUCGGAAGAGGAUGGGCAUGCGGCGCAUUAGCUUGACGGCGGGGUAACGGCCCACCGUGGCGACGAUGCGUAGGGGUUCUGAGAGGAAGGUCCCCCACACUGGUACUGAGACACGGACCAGACUCCUACGGGAGGCAGCAGUGAGGAAUAUUGGUCAAUGGGAGGGAUCCUGAACCAGCCAAGCCGCGUGAGGGAAGACGGCCCUAUGGGUUGUAAACCUCUUUUGUCGGAGAACAAAACCCGGGACGUGUCCCGGACUGCGUGUAUCCGAAGAAAAAGCAUCGGCUAACUCCGUG